UUGAGUGCAGAAGAGGAAAAGUGGAAUUCCAAGUGUAGCGGUUGAAAUGCGUAGAUAUUGGAGGAACACCAGUGGCGAAGGGCGACUUUCUGGGUCUGUAAACUGACACUGAGGCGCGAAUAGCGUGUGGGAGCAAAACAGGAUUAGAUACCCCUGGUAGUCCACGCCGUAAACGAUGAGUGGCUAAGUGUUAGAGGGUUUCCGCCCUUUUAGUGGCUGCAGCUAACGCAUUAAAGCACUCCGCCUGGGGAGUACGGUCGCAAGACUGAAACUCAAAGGAAUUGACGGGGGGCCCGCACAAGCGGUGGAGCAUGUGGUUUAAUUCGAAGCAACGCGAAGAACCUUACCAGGUCUUGACAUCCUCUGACAACCCUAGAGAUAGGGCUUUCCCCUUCGGGGGACAGAGUGACAGGUGGUGCAUGGUUGUCGUCAGCUCGUGUCGUGAGAUGUUGGGUUAAGUCCCGCAACGAGCGCAACCCUUGAUCUUAGUUGCCAGCAUUCAGUUGGGCACUCUAAGAUGACUGCCGGUGACAAACCGGAGGAAGGUGGGGAUGACGUCAAAUCAUCAUGCCCCUUAUGACCUGGGCUACACACGUGCUACAAUGGACGGUACAAAGGGCUGCAAGACCGCGAGGUUUAGCCAAUCCCAUAAAACCGUUGUCAGUUCGGAUUGUAGGCUGCAACUCGCCUACAUGAAGCUGGAAUCGUUAGUAAUCGCGGAUCAGC
This 726-nucleotide ribosomal RNA is filed under the name Rossellomorea sp. RNAcentral describes it as "bacterial SSU rRNA". It matches the Rfam family "Bacterial small subunit ribosomal RNA", at positions 642 to 1353 of the family's 1533-position model. The record is from RNAcentral. Lineage: Bacteria; Bacillati; Bacillota; Bacilli; Caryophanales; Bacillaceae.